GCCCCGGGGGUUUGCGGUUGUCGGGGGGGGGGGUGGGGGGGUGGUCAGCCUGCCGGUGGGAGGGAGAAGGGGGGAGGAGGGGGAAGGGUAAAGGGGAGGGGGGAGAAGGGAGGGGGAGAAAGGGAGGGGAGCAGGGGGGGAGGGGGGAGAAGGGAGAGGGAGGAAGGGAGGGGAGCAUGGGGGGAGGGGGGAGAAGGGAGGGGGAGGGGGGAGAAGGGAGGGGGAGGGGGAGGAAGGGAGGGGAGCAGGGAAGGAGGGGGGAGGGAGGGGGAGGAGGGAGGACGGGGGAGGGGUAAGGAGGAGGGGAAAGGAGGAGGGGGAGGGAGGGGGAGGAGGGAGGAAGAAGGAGGGAGGACGGGAAAGGGGGAGGAGGAGGGGGGAGGGGAAAGGAGGAGGGGGAGGGGAAAGGAGGAGGGGGAGGAAGGGGGAGCAGGGAAGGAGGGGGAGGAGGAGGGGGGAGGGAAGGGGGAGGGAGAGGGAGGGAAGGGAAGGGAAGGAGGGGGAAGAAAGGGAGGGGAGGAGGGAAGGAGGAGGGGGAGAGGAGGGGAGAGGAGGGGGAGAGGAGGGGGGAGGGGGCGGUGCCCAGCGGAAGUGGCGGCGGCGGCGCGCGCGAGGGCUUCCUUCGGGCCGGGCGUGGGCGGGCCGAGGCUGCGUGCGUGCGCGCGUCCGUCCGCCUGCGUGCGCGCGUCCGUGCGGGGGCGGGGCGGAGGGGCGCGCCCGCGGCCCAAGCCCAAGCCCAAGCCCAAGCCCCGACCCGACCCGCCCGGCGCACGGCACAGCAGCCGCGCCGCCGCCACGACGAGCCCUGUCCCCUGUCCCCUGUCCCCUGUCCCCUGUCCCCGCCGACGAGGAGGCGGAGGGGCCGGGCCGGGCCGGGCCCAGCCGAGCCGAGUCGAGUCGAGUCGAGUCGAGCCGAGCGAGGAGCGGCAGCGGGGGCAGGAAGCGGCGGCCGACACGGGGAGCGGCAGCAGGAGCGGCCGUAGCAGCGGGAGCAGCCGCCGCCGCUGCCGCCGCCGCCGCCGCCGCCUGGUUCCGGGCUCGGUCCCGGUCCGGUUGCGGCCAGGCUGA
This 1068-nucleotide long non-coding RNA is filed under the name Ornithorhynchus anatinus (platypus). Its description in RNAcentral is "lncRNA (ENSOANG00000044845.1)". The record is from RNAcentral. Lineage: Eukaryota; Metazoa; Chordata; Mammalia; Monotremata; Ornithorhynchidae.